RNAcentral lists this ribosomal RNA (393 nucleotides) under Triticum aestivum (bread wheat). RNAcentral's name for it is "partial small subunit ribosomal RNA". Lineage: Eukaryota; Viridiplantae; Streptophyta; Magnoliopsida; Poales; Poaceae. The record is from RNAcentral.
GAGUUGCAAGAGAUCAAGAUGAGGCAGAUGGCACAUGCAUGGUGGCUAAAUGGAGGAGAUAGAAAUACACAGUAUCUCAAAAACUUCGCUUCGGCAAGGAAGAGGGCAAACCGGAUAAAUAAGUUGAGAAGGGAGGAUGGGGUGGAGUUAGAGGAGGGAGAGGGGAUGUCUAACUAUGUUCUAUCUUAUUUUCAGGAUCUUUUUACGACAAAUGGAAAUAACCAGUUCGAUGACUUGCUCGUCUCCGUCCCUACUAAGGUCACCCGGGCCAUGAAUGAGAGCCUUUUGGCUGAGUUCACUGAUAUGGAAAUAAAAGCGGCAUUAGAUCAUAUUGGGGACUUGAAAGCCCCGGGCCCGGAUGGUAUGCCAACGCUUGUGUUUAAGAAGUUCUGG